CCAGACUCCUACGGGAGGCAGCAGUGAGGAAUAUUGGUCAAUGGACGAGAGUCUGAACCAGCCAAGUAGCGUGCAGGAAGACGGCCCUAUGGGUUGUAAACUGCUUUUAUAAGGGAAUAAAGUGAGAGUCGUGACUCUUUUUGCAUGUACCUUAUGAAUAAGGACCGGCUAAUUCCGUGC
This 180-nucleotide ribosomal RNA is filed under the name uncultured bacterium. RNAcentral's name for it is "partial 16S ribosomal RNA". It matches the Rfam family "Bacterial small subunit ribosomal RNA", at positions 331 to 508 of the family's 1533-position model. The record is from RNAcentral.